AUUGAACGCUGGCGGCAGGCCUAACACAUGCAAGUCGAACGAGUGGCGGACGGGUGAGUAAUGUCUGGGAAACUGCCCGAUGGAGGGGGAUAACUACUGGAAACGGUAGCUAAUACCGCAUACCAUCGGAUGUGCCCAGAUGGGAUUAGCUUGUAGGUGAGGUAACGGCUCACCUAGGCGACGAGCCCUAGUUGGUCUGAGAGGAUGACAAGCCACACGGGAACUGAGAAACGGUACAGAAUCUGACGUGAGGCAGCAGUGGGGAAUAGUGCACAAUGUGCGCAAGCCUGAUGCAGCCUGGCCGCGUGUAUGAAGAAGGCCUUCGGGUUGUAAAGUACUUUCAGCGGGGAGGCGUUACCCGCAGAAGAAGCACAGGCUAACUCCGUGCCAGCAGCCGCGGUAAGUC
RNAcentral lists this ribosomal RNA (406 nucleotides) under uncultured bacterium. Its description in RNAcentral is "partial 16S ribosomal RNA". It matches the Rfam family "Bacterial small subunit ribosomal RNA", at positions 30 to 526 of the family's 1533-position model. The record is from RNAcentral.